CCUACGGGAGGCUGCAGUGGGGAAUAUUGGACAAUGGGGGGAACCCUGAUCCAGCCAUGCCGCAUGUGUGAAGAAGGCCCUCGGGUUGUAAAGCACUUUCAGUGAGGAAGAACGCCUGGUGGUUAAUACCCAUCAGGAAAGACAUCACUCACAGAAGAAGCACCGGCUAACUCCGUGCCAGCAGCCGCGGUAAUACGGAGGGUGCGAGCGUUAAUCGGAAUUACUGGGCGUAAAGCGCGCGUAGGUGGCUUGAUAAGCCGGUUGUGAAAGCCCCGGGCUCAACCUGGGAACGGCAUCCGGAACUGUCAAGCUAGAGUGCAGGAGAGGAAGGUAGAAUUCCCGGUGUAGCGGUGAAAUGCGUAGAGAUCGGGAGGAAUACCAGUGGCGAAGGCGGCCUUCUGGACUGACACUGACACUGAGGUGCGAAAGCGUGGGUAGCAAACAGGAUUAGAUACCCCUGUAGUC
Molecule: ribosomal RNA, 465 nt
Filed under: Vreelandella stevensii
Lineage: Bacteria; Pseudomonadati; Pseudomonadota; Gammaproteobacteria; Oceanospirillales; Halomonadaceae
Description: partial 16S ribosomal RNA
Rfam family: Bacterial small subunit ribosomal RNA
Source: RNAcentral